RNA transcript from Salvelinus namaycush (lake trout), 3163 nucleotides. It is a transcript of the gene named methyltransferase like 22, with no coding region annotated. The transcript is spliced from 12 exons. The record is from RefSeq and is a predicted model, not a curated record. NCBI's taxonomy places the organism in Eukaryota, Metazoa, Chordata, Actinopteri, Salmoniformes, Salmonidae.
AUGAAUUAAAUACGAGGUUUAUGUUAUUAGACUGUACUGAAUGUCAUGUGUUGGAAGUGUUUCAUUUAAAUGUGCCCAUUUAAAUGUCCCUCGUUAGCUAGCGUCGUUGUAGUCUGCCCCUGGACCUUGCCAGUCAUUCAUUAUCAAAGUAGCUAGCAUCAAGCUAGCUCAUGGUAGUUGUUUCUAGCAGGUUCCCUCCCGCCCAUUCAGUUACGUUUGUCAGAAGUUCCCACCGUAGAGAAGGCUAGUUUAUUUGGCUAACCAAAUGAAUACAUGUUUACCAGACACACGUCUUUGCAGCAUUUUCAUUGACAGCUUAUGGCUAGCAAGUUAGCUAACUACCACUGGAAAGGUGUGCUGCAGGCAGGUAGAUGACAUGCAGGGUGAGCCAUGGACCAGAUCACCUUCCAUUAUGACACGGUGUGUCUGACGUGUGUGUGUUCCCCAGGUGUGCUGCAGGCAGGUAGAUGACAUGCAGGGUGAGCCAUGGACCAAAUCACCUUCCAUUAUGACACGGUGCUGUCUGACGUUCACCUGUUGCUACCCAACUCUCGCCACCUCAUGGCACGCCUUAACAGCGUAGGACAACCAGUGUUCAUCUCCCGGUUCAGAAUCCUGUGGGACGGAGCAAAGCAGCACACCUGUGACCUCGGUUCCCCCUGCGGAGGGGAAGAGUUAGACCGCGACACCCAGGAGGAGAGUGGAAGGGGAGAUGCUAGGGGGAGUGAGACUGUGGCUGACGCAGGGGCAGACGGAGGAGUGGACAGAGGGGAGGACGGAGAGGAGGACAGAGGGGAGGACGGAGAGGAGGACAGAGGGGAGGACGGAGGAGUGGACAGAGGGGAGGACGGAGAGGACAGAGUGGAGGACGGAGAGGAGGACAGAGGGGAGGACGGAGAGGUAGAACCACCCCUGGAUGAAGAUGGAGAUUUAGAGGUACCACGCAGGCCCAGACAAAGACUCCCUGAGAGGGACAGAGACAUGGUCUACCCCAUCAUCCUCAGCCAGGCAAGAAGAGAGGAAGAGGAGGAGGAGGAGGAGGAAGAGAAGUGUCCUAGAGACGUCAUCAGGAUAGAACACACUAUGGCCACGCCUUUAGAAGAUGUUGGCAAACAGGUCUGGCGUGGUGCCUUCCUAUUGGCUGAUUUAAUCCUGUCUCAGCCAACUACAUUCAGAGGAGCCACUGUCUUGGAGUUGGGGGCAGGGACUGGGCUGACCAGCAUAGUCAUGGCAACGGUGGCCAAAACAGUGUACUGCACAGACGUUGGGGAGGAUCUACUGAGCAUGUGCCAGAAGAACGUGACGUUAAACAGACACCUGAUGGAACCUGCAGGUGGGGAGGUGCGAGUACGUCUACUGGACUGGCUCAGACACGAUCUCUGCACAGACGCUGAUGCAGAGUUUGGAUGGACAGAGGAUGAAGUGGCAGAUCUCCAUGACAACACAACAAUUAUCAUUGCGGCUGACGUGUGCUACGAUGACGAUCUGACAGACGCGCUGUUCCGAACUCUGUACAGAAUCUGUAACAACCUCCGUCUCCCCUGUACUACAUACCUGUCUAUAGAGAAGAGGUAACAUACCUGUACUACAUACCUGUCUAUAGAGAAGAGGUAACAUACCUGUACUACAUACCUGUCUAUAGAGAAGAGGUAACAUACCUGUACUACAUACCUGUCUAUAGAGAAGAGGUAACAUACCUGUACUACAUACCUGUCUAUAGUGAAGAGGUUAACAUACCUGUACUACAUACCUGUCUAUAGAGAAGAGGUAACAUACCUGUACUACAUACCUGUCUAUAGAGAAGAGGUAACAUACCUGUACGACAUACCUGUCUAUAGAGAAGAGGUAACAUACCUGUACUACAUACCUGUCUAUAGAGAAGAGGUAACAUACCUGUACUACAUACCUGUCUAUAGAGAAGAGGUAACAUACCUGUACGACAUACCUGUCUAUAGAGAAGAGGUAACAUACCUGUACUACAUACCUGUCUAUAGAGAAGAGGUAACAUACUUGUACUACAUACCUGUCUAUAGAGAAGAGGUAACAUACCUGUACUACAUACCUGUCUAUAGAGAAGAGGUAACAUACCUGUACUACAUACCUGUCUAUAGAGAAGAGGUAACAUACCUGUACUACAUACCUGUCUAUAGAGAAGAGGUAACAUACCUGUACUACAUACCUGUCUAUAGAGAAGAGGUAACAUACCUGUACUACAUACCUGUCUAUAGAGAAGAGGUAACAUACCUGUACUACAUACCUGUCUAUAGAGAAGAGGUAACAUACCUGUACUACAUACCUGUCUAUAGUGAAGAGGUUAACAUACCUGUACUACAUACCUGUCUAUAGAGAAGAGGUAACAUACCUGUACUACAUACCUGUCUAUAGAGAAGAGGUAACAUACCUGUACUACAUACCUGUCUAUAGAGAAGAGGUAACAUACCUGUACUACAUACCUGUCUAUAGAGAAGAGGUAACAUACCUGUACUACAUACCUGUCUAUAGAGAAGAGGUAACAUACCUGUACUACAUACCUGUCUAUAGAGAAGAGGUAACAUACCUGUACUACAUACCUGUCUAUAGAGAAGAGGUAACAUACCUGUACUACAUACCUGUCUAUAGAGAAGAGGUAACAUACCUGUACUACAUACCUGUCUAUAGAGAAGAGGUAACAUACCUGUACUACAUACCUGUCUAUAGAGAAGAGGUAACAUACCUGUACUACAUACCUGUCUAUAGAGAAGAGGUAACAUACCUGUACUACAUACCUGUCUAUAGAGAAGAGGUAACAUACCUGUACUACAUACCUGUCUAUAGAGAAGAGGUAACAUACCUGUACUACAUACCUGUCUAUAGAGAAGAGGUAACAUACCUGUACUACAUACCUGUCUAUAGAGAAGAGGUAACAUACCUGUACUACAUACCUGUCUAUAGAGAAGAGGUAACAUACCUGUACUACAUACCUGUCUAUAGAGAAGAGGUAACAUACCUGUACUACAUACCUGUCUAUAGAGAAGAGGUAACAUACCUGUACUACAUACCUGUCUAUAGAGAAGAGGCUGAACUUCACUCUGAGACACAUGGACAUAUCAUGCGAGGCCUACAACCAUUUCCGCCACUGUCUGUGUGAGAUGCAGGAGCUAAGGGACGGACGGACAUGCUUCAC